RNAcentral lists this ribosomal RNA (446 nucleotides) under uncultured bacterium. Its description in RNAcentral is "bacterial SSU rRNA". It matches the Rfam family "Bacterial small subunit ribosomal RNA", at positions 354 to 796 of the family's 1533-position model. The record is from RNAcentral.
GUGAGGAAUAUUGGUCAAUGGACGCAAGUCUGAACCAGCCAUGCCGCGUGCAGGAAGAAUGCCCUAUGGGUUGUAAACUGCUUUUAUUUGGGAAUAAACCCCCGGUCGUGCACCGGGGCUGAAGGUACCAAAUGAAUAAGCACCGGCUAACUCCGUGCCAGCAGCCGCGGUAAUACGGAGGGUGCAAGCGUUAUCCGGAAUCAUUGGGUUUAAAGGGUCCGCAGGCGGUCCUAUAAGUCAGUGGUGAAAGCCUACAGCUUAACUGUAGAACUGCCAUUGAUACUGUAGGACUUGAAUUCGGUCGAAGUGGGCGGAAUAUGUCAUGUAGCGGUGAAAUGCUUAGAUAUGACAUAGAACACCGAUAGCGAAGGCAGCUCACUAGGCCUGGAUUGACGCUCAGGGACGAAAGCGUGGGUAGCGAACAGGAUUAGAUACCCCAGUAGUCC